This 301-nucleotide ribosomal RNA is filed under the name uncultured bacterium. Its description in RNAcentral is "partial 16S ribosomal RNA". It matches the Rfam family "Bacterial small subunit ribosomal RNA", at positions 509 to 809 of the family's 1533-position model. The record is from RNAcentral.
CAGUAGCCACGGUAAUACGGAGGGUGCAAGCGUUAAUCGGAAUUACUGGGCGUAAAGCGCACGCAGGCGGUUUGUUAAGUCAGAUGUGAAACCCCCGAGCUUAACUUGGGAACUGCAUUUGAAACUGGCAAGCUAGAGUCUUGUAGAGGGGGGUAGAAUUCCAGGUGUAGCGGUGAAAUGCGUAGAGAUCUGGAGGAAUACCGGUGGCGAAGGCGGCCCCCUGGACAAAGACUGACGCUCAGGUGCGAAAGCGUGGGGAGCAAACAGGAUUAGAUACCCCGGUAGUCCCUGUCUCUUAUAA